CCAACACUGCCUUCCUCCCUCUGCCCUCCCUUACUCUUCUUCCUCAAGCCCUCCGUCUAUCCAUCCAUCCUUCGCCUUCUAAUUUCCUCAAACCCCCCCUAGUCCUCCCUCCUCACUUCAAGGCAGCAUCAGAAGGUUUUUGAAAACACUUCCAGGAACAUUUCAAGUGCCUCAUUUUCAUUCUUUAUGUUCGUUUUCAUGCUCCAUACAUCUGCAGUCUCAAGAUACAUACGUGCUGGGAGAUUUCAGGGGAAACGUCUGGACUUCGGUGCAUCUCUGAAAACAGCUUAA
Molecule: long non-coding RNA, 291 nt
Organism: Pleuronectes platessa (European plaice)
Lineage: Eukaryota; Metazoa; Chordata; Actinopteri; Pleuronectiformes; Pleuronectidae
Exons: 3
Source: RefSeq, a predicted model, not a curated record